CUACGUGCCAGCAGCCGCGGUAAUACGUAGGUCCCGAGCGUUGUCCGGAUUUAUUGGGCGUAAAGCGAGCGCAGGCGGUUAGAUAAGUCUGAAGUUAAAGGCUGUGGCUUAACCAUAGUACGCUUUGGAAACUGUUUAACUUGAGUGCAAGAGGGGAGAGUGGAAUUCCAUGUGUAGCGGUGAAAUGCGUAGAUAUAUGGAGGAACACCGGUGGCGAAAGCGGCUCUCUGGCUUGUAACUGACGCUGAGGCUCGAAAGCGUGGGGAGCAAACAGGAUUAGAUACCUUGGUAGUCCACGCCGUAAACGAUGAGUGCUAGGUGUUAGAUCCUUUCCGGGGUUUAGUGCCGCAGCUAACGCAUUAAGCACUCCGCCUGGGGAGUACGACCGCAAGGUUGAAACUCAAAGGAAUUGACGGGGGCCCGCACAAGCGGUGGAGCAUGUGGUUUAAUUCGAAGCAACGCGAAGAACCUUACCAGGUCUUGACAUCCCUCUGACCGCUCUAGAGAUAGAGCUUUC
Molecule: ribosomal RNA, 517 nt
Filed under: uncultured bacterium
Lineage: Bacteria
Description: bacterial SSU rRNA
Rfam family: Bacterial small subunit ribosomal RNA
Source: RNAcentral